This is an RNA transcript of Mus pahari (shrew mouse), 447 nucleotides long. It is a transcript of the gene named prothymosin alpha pseudogene, with no coding region annotated. The record is from RefSeq and is a predicted model, not a curated record. The transcript has a single exon. Lineage: Eukaryota; Metazoa; Chordata; Mammalia; Rodentia; Muridae.
AUGAAAAAUGUGGCCGCGAGCCACAUUUCGACGAAUUCUUUCGACGAAUUCUUCACUUGCUGUAUGGGACCACCGGUGUGCCCCACCACGUCAGACGUGGCAGUGGACAGCAGCUCCGAGAUCACCACCAAGGACUUGAAGAAGAAGGUAGUUGUGGAGGGGGCAGAGAAAAGAAGAGAUGCACCUGCCAAUGGAAAUGCUGAACAUGAGGAAAAUGGGGAGCAGGAGGCUGACAAUGGGGUAGAUGAAGAAGAGGAAGACAGUGGGGAGGAAGAGGAAGAGGAGGAGGAAGAAGGUGACGGUGAGGAAGAGGAUGGAGAUGAAGAUGGGGAAGCUGAGGCUCCUAUGGGCAAGCAGGUAGCUGAGGGUGAUGAGGAUGGCGGUGUCGACACCAAGAAGCAGAAGACCGAGGAGGAUGACUAGACAGCAAAAGGAAACGCUAACCUU